AAUAGCACUCUGCAGCUUUUCAUACAGCAUGAGCUUGUUAUUCAUAUAGAAAUACUCCAAGACAGUUCUUAGAACUUGGGAUCGUCUGUUUUUUGUGAUGGAGUUUGUGAAUGGGGGUGACUUGAUGUUCCACAUUCAGAAGUCUCGUCGUUUUGAUGAAGCACGAGCUCGCUUCUAUGCUGCAGAAAUCAUUUCGGCUCUUAUGUUCCUCCAUGAUAAAGGAAUCAUCUAUAGAGAUCUGAAACUGGACAACGUCCUGUUGGACCACGAAGGUCACUGUAAACUGGCAGACUUCGGAAUGUGCAAGGAGGGGAUUUGCAAUGGCGUCACCACGGCCACAUUCUGUGGCACGCCAGACUAUAUCGCUCCAGAGAUCCUCCAGGAAAUGCUGUACGGGCCUGCAGUAGACUGGUGGGCAAUGGGCGUGUUGCUCUAUGAGAUGCUGUGCGGUCACGCACCUUUUGAGGCAGAGAACGAAGAUGACCUCUUUGAGGCCAUACUGAAUGACGAGGUGGUCUACCCUACCUGGCUCCAUGAAGAUGCCACAGGGAUCCUAAAAUCUUUCAUGACCAAGAACCCCACCAUGCGUUUGGGCAGCCUGACUCAGGGAGGCGAGCACGCCAUCUUGAGACAUCCUUUUUUUAAGGAAAUCGACUGGGCCCAGCUGAACCAUCGCCAACUAGAACCACCUUUCAGACCCAGAAUCAAAUCCCGAGAAGAUGUCAGUAAUUUUGACCCUGACUUCAUAAAGGAAGAGCCAGUUUUAACUCCAAUUGAUGAGGGACAUCUUCCAAUGAUUAACCAGGAUGAGUUUAGAAACUUUUCCUAUGUGUCUCCAGAAUUGCAACCAUAGCCUUAUGGGGAGUGAGAGAGAGGGCAUGAGGACCCGAAGGGAAUAGAGAUUUUCCAGGAAUUUCCUCUGUGGGACCUUCCCAGCAUCAGCCUUAGAACAAGAACCUUAACUUCAA
RNAcentral lists this small RNA (968 nucleotides) under Pongo abelii (Sumatran orangutan). RNAcentral's name for it is "processed transcript". Lineage: Eukaryota; Metazoa; Chordata; Mammalia; Primates; Hominidae. The record is from RNAcentral.